Molecule: ribosomal RNA, 483 nt
Filed under: uncultured bacterium
Lineage: Bacteria
Description: partial 16S ribosomal RNA
Rfam family: Bacterial small subunit ribosomal RNA
Source: RNAcentral
UUGAACGCUGGCGGCAGGCCUAACACAUGCCAGUCGAGCGGAUGAAGGGAGCUUGCUCCUGGAUUCAGCGGCGGACGGGUGAGUAAUGCCUAGGAAUCUGCCUGGUAGUGGGGGAUAACGUCCGGAAACGGGCGCUAAUACCGCAUACGUCCUGAGGGAGAAAGUGGGGGAUCUUCGGACCUCACGCUAUCAGAUGAGCCUAGGUCGGAUUAGCUAGUUGGUGGGGUAAAGGCCUACCAAGGCGACGAUCCGUAACUGGUCUGAGAGGAUGAUCAGUCACACUGGAACUGAGACACGGUCCAGACUCCUACGGGAGGCAGCAGUGGGGAAUAUUGGACAAUGGGCGAAAGCAUGAUCCAGCCAUGCCGCGUGUGUGAAGAAGGUCUUCGGAUUGUAAAGCACUUUAAGUUGGGAGGAAGGGCAGUAAGUUAAUACCUGGCUGUUUUGACGUUACCAACAGAAUAAGCACCGGCUAACUUCGUG